GACGAACGCUGGCGGCGUGCCUAAUACAUGCAAGUCGAGCGAACAGACUAGGAGCUUGCUCCUCUGACGUUAGCGGCGGACGGGUGAGUAACACGUGGGUAACCUACCCUUAAGACUGGGAUAACUUCGGGAAACCGGAGCUAAUACCGGGUAAUAUAUUGAACCACAUGUUUCAAUGGUGAAAGACGGCUUUGCCUACACUUACAGCUUGAUCCGCGCCGCUUUAGCUAGUUGGUAAGGUAACGGCGUACCAAGGCAACGAUGCAUAGCCGACCUGAGAGGGUGAUCGGCCACACUGGAACUGAGACACGGUCCAGACUCCUACGAGAGGGAGGAGUAGGGACUCUUCCACAGUGGGCGAGAGCCUGACGGAGCAACGGCGCGUGAGUUAUGAAGGUCUUCGGAUCGUAAAACUGUGUUAUUAGGGGAAAACAAAUGUGUAAGUGUCUAUGGACGUCUUGACGGUACCUAAUCAGAAAGCCACGGCUAACUACGUG
This 497-nucleotide ribosomal RNA is filed under the name uncultured bacterium. RNAcentral describes it as "partial 16S ribosomal RNA". It matches the Rfam family "Bacterial small subunit ribosomal RNA", at positions 28 to 507 of the family's 1533-position model. The record is from RNAcentral.